Molecule: ribosomal RNA, 482 nt
Filed under: uncultured bacterium
Lineage: Bacteria
Description: partial 16S ribosomal RNA
Rfam family: Bacterial small subunit ribosomal RNA
Source: RNAcentral
AGUGAACGUUGGCGGCGUGGAUUAGGCAUGCAAGUCGAGCGAGAACCGUAGCAAUACGGGGACAGCGGCGAAAGGGACAGUAAUGUGUAGGUACCUACCUCCGGGUUCGGGAUAGCUGCGGGAAACUGCAGGUAAUACCGAAUAACGUCUCCGGACCAAAGGUGUGAUUCCACCUGGAGAGGGGCCCGCAUCCUAUUAGCUUGUUGGCGGGGUAACGGCCCACCAAGGCGACGAUGGGUAGCGGGUGUGAGAGCACGACCCGCGUCAUUGGGACUGAGACACUGCCCAGACACCUACGGGUGGCUGCAGUCGAGGAUCUUCGGCAAUGGGCGCAAGCCUGACCGAGCGACGCCGCGUGCGGGAUGAAGGCCUUCGGGUUGUAAACCGCUGUCGUAGAGGAGGAAGUGCAGGGGGGUUCUCCCCUCUGUUUGACCUAUUCUAGGAGGAAGGACGGGCUAAGUUUGUGCCAGCAGCCGCCGUAA